Molecule: ribosomal RNA, 497 nt
Filed under: uncultured bacterium
Lineage: Bacteria
Description: partial 16S ribosomal RNA
Rfam family: Bacterial small subunit ribosomal RNA
Source: RNAcentral
GAUGAACGCUGGCGGCGUGCCUAAUACAUGCAAGUCGAGCGAACAGACGAGGAGCUUGCUCCGCUGACGUUAGCGGCGGACGGGUGAGUAACACGUGGAUAACCUACCUAUAAGACUGGGAUAACUUCGGGAAACCGGAGCUUAUACCGGAUAAUCUAUUGCACCGCAUGGUUCAAUAGUGAAAGACGGUUUUGCUGUCACUUCUCGAUGGAUACGCGCCGCAUUAGCUAGUUGGUAAGUUAACGGGUUACCAAGGGGACGAUGCGUAGCCGACCUGAGAGGGUGAUAGCCGGCAUGGGAACGGGGACGGGGUCCAGGCUCCUACGGGAGGCAGCAGAAGGGAAUCGGCCGCAACGGGCGAAAGCCUUACGGAGCAGGGCGACGUGAGAGAUGAAGGUGUCCGGAGCGGGAAACUCUGCUAUGAGGGAUGAACAGAUGUGUAAGUAACUAUGCACGUCUUGACGGUACCGGAUCAGAAAGCCACGGCUAACUACGUG